Molecule: ribosomal RNA, 443 nt
Filed under: uncultured bacterium
Lineage: Bacteria
Description: SSU rRNA
Rfam family: Bacterial small subunit ribosomal RNA
Source: RNAcentral
AGAGCGAACGCUGGCGGCAGGCCUAACACAUGCAAGUCGAGCGCCGUAGCAAUACGGAGCGGCAGACGGGAGAGUAACACGUGGGAACGUACCCUUCAGUUCGGAACAACCCAGGGAAACUUGGGCUAAUACCGGAUACGUCCGUAAGGAGAAAGAUUUAUCGCUGAAGGAUCGGCCCGCGUCUGAUUAGCUUGUUGGUGAGGUAACGGCUCACCAAGGCUACGAUCAGUAGCUGGUCUGAGAGGAUGAUCAGCCUCACUGGGACUGAGACACGGCCCAGACUCCUACGGGAGGCAGCAGUGGGAAUAUUGGACAAUGGGCGCAAGCCUGAUCCAGCCAUGCCGCGUGGGUGAUGAAGGCCCUAGGGUUGUAAAGCCCUUUCGGCGGGAAGAUAAUGACGGUACCCGCAGAAGAACGCCCGGCUAACUCGUGCCAGCAGCCGC